Molecule: non-coding RNA, 29 nt
Filed under: Mus musculus (house mouse)
Lineage: Eukaryota; Metazoa; Chordata; Mammalia; Rodentia; Muridae
Source: RNAcentral
UUNGAAGUAAAGCCUGUGAAGUAAGUGUG